GGAAUCUUGCGCAAUGGGCGAAAGCCUGACGCAGCAACGCCGCGUGCGGGAAGAAGGCUUUCGGGCUGUAAACCGCUUUCAGCAGGAACGAAAAUGACGGUACCUGCAGAAGAAGGAGCGGCCAACUAUGUGCCAGCAGCCGCGGUGAUACAUAGGCUUCAAGCGUUGUCCGGAUUUAUUGGGCGUAAAGAGUUCGUAGGCGGUCAAGUAAGUCGGGUGUGAAAAUUCUGGGCUUAACCCAGAGACGCCACCCGAUACUGCUUAACUUGAGUUCGAUAGGGGAGUGGGGAAUUCCUAGUGUAGCGGUGAAAUGCGCAGAUAUUAGGAGGAACACCGGUGGCGAAGGCGCCACUCUGGAUCGAUACUGACGCUGAGGAACGAAAGCAUGGGUAGCAAACAGGAUUAGAUACCCUGGUAGUCCAUGCCGUAAACGGUGGGCACUAGGUGUGGGAUUCUAUUAACGAAUUCCGCGCCGUCGCUAACGCAUUAAGUGCCCCGCCUGGGGAGUACGGUCGCAAGACUAAAACUCAAAGGAAUUGACGG
RNAcentral lists this ribosomal RNA (543 nucleotides) under uncultured bacterium. RNAcentral describes it as "bacterial SSU rRNA". It matches the Rfam family "Bacterial small subunit ribosomal RNA", at positions 358 to 916 of the family's 1533-position model. The record is from RNAcentral.